RNAcentral lists this ribosomal RNA (253 nucleotides) under uncultured bacterium. RNAcentral's name for it is "partial 16S ribosomal RNA". It matches the Rfam family "Bacterial small subunit ribosomal RNA", at positions 524 to 776 of the family's 1533-position model. The record is from RNAcentral.
UACGGAGGGGGCUAGCGUUGUUCGGAAUUACUGGGCGUAAAGCGCACGUAGGCGGCUUUGUAAGUUAGAGGUGAAAGCCCGGGGCUCAACUCCGGAAUUGCCUUUAAGACUGCAUCGCUCGAAUUGUGGAGAGGUAAGUGGAAUUCCGAGUGUAGAGGUGAAAUUCGUAGAUAUUCGGAAGAACACCAGUGGCGAAGGCGACUUACUGGACACAUAUUGACGCUGAGGUGCGAAAGCGUGAGGAGCAAAAGGG